Molecule: long non-coding RNA, 251 nt
Organism: Gossypium arboreum
Lineage: Eukaryota; Viridiplantae; Streptophyta; Magnoliopsida; Malvales; Malvaceae
Exons: 3
Source: RefSeq, a predicted model, not a curated record
AUGAGACGGGAUUUUGGGAAAAAUGUCUUACCGAUUUUAUUUCUAUAAGAUAUUUUCCAUCUUUCCUCCUCCUUCCGUCCUUCUCCUUCUUCAUCCAAUUGGACCAGUUCCCUUCCUGAAACAAAGCUCAAGAGCAAUGUGAGAGGGAUAAGGCUCGAGUCCUUGUUCACUGCAUGUCAGGAAAAAAUAGAUCACCAGCUAUUGUAGCAGCUUUCUUGAUGAAAUCUAAAAAGAACGGAGACCAUCUGUUG